ACCUGGCUGCUUGCCCCUUGGGUAGUCUUGACUUCCCGGGGACCUCUGGGUUCUCUCUCCUUUUUGCUACAAGCUCCGAUCGUUUUGACUUCUGGAAGCCAGAACCGUGCGUGCAUCUCUCAGUAUAACAGGGUGAAUCUCAGAAUGGAACAGCUCUGGAUCCUCUCCCCAUUCCCCAAAGAGAACUAAAUUUCAAGCUUCUCUCCUUUAUGCCUGCCUGAUUUCCAUGCCCAGAGCUUCCAGUUCCCAGAGAAGAUGUAAUAUCUCAUUUUAAGCACAGACAAGCAACCUGGAUUCUGGACCAAAAAGGCCGAGACACUGCUCUCCAGAUCAAGAGAUCAGACUUGAAAUGAAGGACACUACUGAAGUGAUUAGUCUUUCUGUGGCAGAACCUCAUAAUCCAAGAAUUAUACGUUGCUGUGAUUUUACUUGGAGAGAAAUCUGUGCUACUUAAAAGAAACUCCAAACGGGCAAGAAACCUUAUGAAUGUAACCAGUGUGGAAAGAGUUUUAGAAAAAGGAGAGCUCUUACUGUACAUCAGAGAAUGCACUCUAAAGAGAAACCUUAUGAGUGUAACCAGUGUGGAAAGGCUUUUAUUGAAAGAAAAGCUCUUACUUUACAUCAGAGAAUCCACAUUGGAGAGAAAUCAUAUGUAAGUAAUCCAUAUGGAAAGGGUUUUGUAGUAAAUAUGGAUAAGUUCUUGCCAGAUUGUGCUUCUGAAUUAAAUUGUUCAAUGUA
This is a long non-coding RNA of Antechinus flavipes (yellow-footed antechinus), 738 nucleotides long. RefSeq lists it as uncharacterized. NCBI's taxonomy places the organism in Eukaryota, Metazoa, Chordata, Mammalia, Dasyuromorphia, Dasyuridae. The transcript is spliced from 3 exons. The record is from RefSeq and is a predicted model, not a curated record.